GGCAUUUAGUAGGGCACAACUUCACAGACUAAAGUAGUUCAGAUUAAGAUGUUAGACUCAAUGAGCUGGGGAUCCUAAUUAUAUCUGAAUUUCCCAUUACUCCUUAUUAACAUUACUGGUUCUGUGGCAUAUUAUCUAUUUAACAUGUAUCACUGAAGACUGUUUGGUCUGAUAGAUGCUUCUUACUAAUAUUUUCUAGAUAGGAAAUGCAAAAUCUUUUUGGUGGAAAUCAGGUUUCCUGUGUUUGGCCAGAUGACCUGCUGUAUGUGGAGGUCUACAGAUGAAACUCAGCUCUCAGUUGACACCUCUGCUACCACUGAUGUAUGUCAGAAACAGCAAGGUGAGGAGCCUGGAGAGAAGACAAGUUCCUGAUGAAGGAUCCCUCUCCAGCUUCCUUUGGGCCCAAAGAGGAUUCAAAAGACAAACACAGCAAGAGCAACCUUUCAUAAUGCUACAUCAAAUAAAAGUUGGUACUUAUUUAUUUUCUUUCUUUCCUUUUUUUAAUAAUCUGUUCAGUUCCCCUUUUUAGCA
RNAcentral lists this long non-coding RNA (531 nucleotides) under Parus major (Great Tit). RNAcentral describes it as "lncRNA (ENSPMJG00000017013.1)". The record is from RNAcentral. Lineage: Eukaryota; Metazoa; Chordata; Aves; Passeriformes; Paridae.